Long non-coding RNA from Nerophis lumbriciformis (worm pipefish), 653 nucleotides. RefSeq lists it as uncharacterized. Lineage: Eukaryota; Metazoa; Chordata; Actinopteri; Syngnathiformes; Syngnathidae. The record is from RefSeq and is a predicted model, not a curated record.
UCUUUGUUGUUUCCUUUGGUCUAUAAUUUUUUUCCAUCCUUUUGUUUGGUUUGAACUCAAUUAUAAGCUUAACAUGUUAUGUGUACCACAGAAUGUGUUUUGGAAACUGAAGAGGAAGAUCUUACCAGAGAGGACGGACACUAUUCAUUUCCUGAUAAUGAAGAGGUGGCCUUUCCAACCACUGAGGACGAAGAAAUCCCACCCCCCAAGAGACUGACACAACUUUCAAAAAGAAGGGGAUGCAUCAUCAGCAAGUCGUGCAGUGAGACAUUCUUCCAAAGUGAAGUAAAGCUGCCCAGAAAAGGCGACCCUGGACACAGAAAGAGGUGAAGGCUGUCGAGAAGCACAUGAAGCGAUUCAUAUCCCUUCUGGUAUUGUACCAGGAAAGAGUGGCUGUUUAAAAUGUGAGAGGGACGAACCGGAAGCUCUCCAAAACUGGGAAUGGCAAGCAUUGAAGUUCUAUGUGUACAACCGCAUUACGGCCUCCAAAAGGAGAUUGCAGCUAAAAUAGUAUCGUAUUUUUCGGAGUAUAAGUCGCACCGGAGUAUAAGUCGCACCUGCCGAAAAUUCAUAAUAAAAAAGGAAAAAAACAUAUAUAAGUCGCACUGGAGCCCGGCCAAACUACGAAAAAACAGCGACUUAUAGUCCGAAAA